This 541-nucleotide ribosomal RNA is filed under the name Salmonella enterica. RNAcentral's name for it is "partial 23S ribosomal RNA". It matches the Rfam family "Bacterial large subunit ribosomal RNA", at positions 1217 to 1756 of the family's 2925-position model. The record is from RNAcentral. Lineage: Bacteria; Pseudomonadati; Pseudomonadota; Gammaproteobacteria; Enterobacterales; Enterobacteriaceae. RNAcentral also lists the same sequence under 1 other name.
UGUGUUGUUGGGUAGGGGAGCGUUCUGUAAGCCUGUGAAGGUGUGCUGUGAGGCAUGCUGGAGGUAUCAGAAGUGCGAAUGCUGACAUAAGUAACGAUAAAGCGGGUGAAAACCCCGCUCGCCGGAAGACCAAGGGUUCCUGUCCAACGUUAAUCGGGGCAGGGUGAGUCGACCCCUAAGGCGAGGCCGAAAGGCGUAGUCGAUGGGAAACGGGUUAAUAUUCCCGUACUUGGUGUUACUGCGAAGGGGGGACGAAGAAGGCUAGGCCGGCCGGGUGACGGUUAUCCCGGUUUAAGCGUGCAGGUGGGUGGUUUUGGAAAAUCCGGACCGCCGUUAACACUGAGGCGUGAUGACGAGGCGCUACGGCGCUGAAGUGGUUGAUGCCCUGCUUCCAGGAAAAGCCUCUAAGCUCCAGGUAACAUCAAAUCGUACCCCAAACCGACACAGGUGGUCAGGUAGAGAAUACCAAGGCGCUUGAGAGAACUCGGGUGAAGGAACUAGGCAAAAUGGUGCCGUAACUUCGGGAGAAGGCACGCUGACA